Molecule: long non-coding RNA, 252 nt
Filed under: Amborella trichopoda
Lineage: Eukaryota; Viridiplantae; Streptophyta; Magnoliopsida; Amborellales; Amborellaceae
Description: long non-coding RNA (ATRI_LNC005197)
Source: RNAcentral
AUAUAGUGUAUGACAUUGGAGGGUAAGCUUAUUUUUGUUUUUUUAUUAUACAGUCUAUGAGGUAUUGGAGAGGAAUAAAUUAUAAUUUAGUUUUUUUAUAAUGAACUGUAUGAGGUAUUGGAGGCGAAUAAAUUAGAAGUUAGUUGUUUUUAUAUUGAAGUGUACGAGGUAUUGGUGGGGACUAAAUUAUUGAAAGGUUUGAUAAAGAUGUAUAUGCUGUGAUUGACAAAUUUUGACUUAUAUAAAGGUUUG